GUGCCAGCAGCCGCGGUAAUACGGAGGGAGCUAGCGUUGUUCGGAAUUACUGGGCGUAAAGGGCUCGUAGGUGGCCAACUAAGUCAGACGUGAAAUCCCUCAGCUUAACUGGGGAACUGCGUCUGAUACUGGAUGGCUUGAGGUUGGGAGAGGGAUGCGGAAUUCCAGGUGUAGCGGUGAAAUGCGUAGAUAUCUGGAGGAACACAGGUGGCGAAGGCGGCAUCCUGGGCCAAUUCUGACGCUGAGGAGCGAAAGCCAGGGGAGCAAACGGGAUUAGAAACCCCGGUAGUCC
This 292-nucleotide ribosomal RNA is filed under the name uncultured bacterium. Its description in RNAcentral is "partial 16S ribosomal RNA". It matches the Rfam family "Bacterial small subunit ribosomal RNA", at positions 505 to 796 of the family's 1533-position model. The record is from RNAcentral.